CAGGCAGUUGGAGGGCUGGUGGUGCACCCAGAUCCCAGAGUCAAGAGGGUCUGGAAGCUCUUACGCUAGUGAGAAGGAUGGGAAGAUUGCAGAAGCUUGCAUGGAUAUAAUUAGGGCCGCUAAUGCAUAACAUGCAAUUUUCAUCUCAAUUGAGAUGAGUGCACAACAAAAUCUGUGUUUUGGCAAUGAACAUUUUUGAGAUCACCAGACUGAACAAGAAGAACCAAAGAACUCAACAUGACAUAGGCUAUUUUCAGACUAUGAGCUCUCCUUCAUCAAAGUCAGCACUAGCUGUGAAGACCACCUGCUCCAAGUAAUUACCUUAAAGCAUACUCUCAGUGUCUCCUGAUUCAAAUGACCUAUUUCUUGGUGAAAUAAGACAUCUCCUAACUUUGGCUGUGUGAAAUAUGCUCUACACUUGAAAUUACUUAUUCACAGGAGACAAAUACUCAUAGAUCAAUUCAAAGCACUGAUCUCUCUCAGUGGGCCCACUGGAACUCUAUUCCCAAGGCACAAGAAGAAAACAAUCUGCAGAUUACCUGGUAGAAAUGACUAGAUAGAUCUGAAAACCAGCCACAUGGAAAAUGACAAAAUUGUUCUUCUGAAAUCCUCAUUCAGACAAACCUAAGAAGGGAAUUAAUUUUCCCUUCUUAAAAAUUAAUUUUCGCAAUUUCAUGUAUGAAACAAGUAGUCAGACCUUACCUUUAGGAGAGUAUGUUGUUUGUCCAAGAGUUGCAAUAAUUUCAUAUUCAUCAAUUAACACUUUUGGCCUGACUCCUGUGCCCAAUACAGACACCUAUAAAUUUGCUUCGACUUUCAAGUUUCAAAAAAAUUUUUUUCAAUGUAUCUCAGUAAUCAGACAUACAAAACAGUUAGCUUCAGUCCUGAUCAACAACAAAACAAAACAAAAGACGGAGGUAUACCAAAAUCAUUUAAUCAAAACGCGCAUGGAAGGUUUUGUUACCCAGAGUAAGAUACUAAUUAGCCCAAGAAACAGAGUGUCUUUGAAAGGUCACACCGUGUCCUAUUUUUAUUCCCGCUAAGACUUUUUCCUAGGUCAGCAUUCAAGAAAUAUGCCAGGGAACACUGGUUCUGUAAGAUGGUUCUUGAAAGAAAAGAGUUCCAUAGCCAGAUUUAUUUGGAAAAAAUUGCAUACCAUGUCUCACUUGUGAAUUUAAAUGAACAUUAACAUUGUAAAAACUGAAAAAAAAAUUUAGAUGGGAUAAAUUUAUUUGCAUUUAACCCAACAUCAUACAAACUUAUUUGACCCUGCACCAUUUUUACAAGUAUCUAAUCCUCAGGAACAACCGUUUGGCCCCACUGCAGUAGCCUCUUGACUAUUCUCUGCUUCAAGCGUUACCUUGCUCCAAUUCACUCUCAACUACCAGCAGAAUUAUCCAUCUAAAACAUUAAUGACACCUCACAACUCUCCUGCCUAAAAUAAUCCAGUGGCACUAGAUUGUGUGACAGGUAAUGUCUACACUCCUCAGUAGAACACGGGGUUUUUAGUAAUUCUAUCUGCAGCUUAGUUUCCCUCCCAUCCUUUGCCACUGACUCCUGCUUACCCAGCACGCCUAAUACACUGGCAUCACCAAAUUACUUGAAAUAUUGAAAAAUAUCCACUUACACCUGAUCUUAUCUCAUCCUAUUCCUGAUACUCUCUUCCAAAUUUUUGAUAGUUCACACACGUACUUCUUGUCAACAGAUUUUCUUGAUCACUUUCCUCUUUAUCCAAGUGAGUGAGUUGUUCUUUACAGUGUUUCCUUAUCACUUUGUAAAUACCUCUAGAAACAUGUGAAUUCCACUGAAUCUACUGCACUUAGUAAAUUGUGAUCCUAUAAACUUGUGCUAAUUCUGUAGGAUUAGCUACAACUACAAUGUAACUUUUGAGCACAUAAAAUAUGACUAAUCCGAACUGAGAUAUGCUUUACACAUAAAUUACUGAUUUCAAAGAUUAAAGAGAAAAAAAGAGAA
Long non-coding RNA from Lemur catta (Ring-tailed lemur), 1974 nucleotides. RefSeq lists it as uncharacterized. NCBI's taxonomy places the organism in Eukaryota, Metazoa, Chordata, Mammalia, Primates, Lemuridae. The transcript is spliced from 3 exons. The record is from RefSeq and is a predicted model, not a curated record.